RNAcentral lists this ribosomal RNA (436 nucleotides) under uncultured bacterium. Its description in RNAcentral is "bacterial SSU rRNA". It matches the Rfam family "Bacterial small subunit ribosomal RNA", at positions 8 to 451 of the family's 1533-position model. The record is from RNAcentral.
AGAGUUUGAUCCUGGCUCAGAACGAACGCUGGCGGCAUGCCUAACACAUGCAAGUCGAACGAGAGGCUUCGGUUCGCUGGGGUCUCUAGUGGCGCACGGGUGAGUAGCGCGUGGGAACCUGCCCUGGAGUGGGGGAUAACCGAGGGAAACUUCGGCUAAUACCGCAUGCGCCCGGCGAGUGAUCGCCGGGGAAAGAUUUAUCGCUCUAGGAGGGGCCCGCGUCGGAUUAGCUAGUUGGUGGGGUAACGGCCUACCAAGGCGAUGAUCCGUAGCUGGUCUGAGAGGAUGAUCAGCCACACUGGGACUGAGACACGGCCCAGACUCCUACGGGAGGCAGCAGUGGGGAAUCUUGCGCAAUGGGCGAAAGCCUGACGCAGCGACGCCGCGUGGGGGAUGAAGCUUCUCGGAGUGUAACCCCUUUCGACCCGGAAGAAUG